RNAcentral lists this ribosomal RNA (468 nucleotides) under uncultured bacterium. RNAcentral describes it as "partial 16S ribosomal RNA". It matches the Rfam family "Bacterial small subunit ribosomal RNA", at positions 28 to 507 of the family's 1533-position model. The record is from RNAcentral.
GACGAACGCUGGCGGCGUGCUUAACACAUGCAAGUCGAACGGAAAGGCCCUGCUUUUGUGGGGUGCUCGAGUGGCGAACGGGUGAGUAACACGUGAGUAACCUGCCCUUGACUUUGAGAUAACUUCAGGAAACUGGGGCUAAUACCGGAUCGGAGCUCCUGCUGCAUGGUGGGGGUUGGAAAGUUUCGGCGGUUGGGGGUGGACUCGCGGCUUAUCAGCUUGUUGGUGGGGUAGUGGCUUACCCAGGCUUUGACGGGUAGCCGGCCUGAGAGGGUGACCGGCCACAUUGGGACUGAGAUAGGGCCCAGACUCGUACGGGAGGCAGCAGGGGGGAAUAUUGCACAAUGGGCGGAAGCCUGAGGCAGCAACGCCGCGUGCGGGAUGACGGCCUUCGGGUGGUAAACCGCUUUCGCCUGUGACGAAGCGUGAGUGACGGUAAUGGGUAAAGAAGCACCGGCUAACUACGUG